RNAcentral lists this ribosomal RNA (671 nucleotides) under uncultured Planctomycetota bacterium. RNAcentral describes it as "bacterial SSU rRNA". It matches the Rfam family "Bacterial small subunit ribosomal RNA", at positions 808 to 1482 of the family's 1533-position model. The record is from RNAcentral. Lineage: Bacteria; Pseudomonadati; Planctomycetota.
GAUGCGCACUGGACCGGUGCGGGUCUGACCCCGUAUUGGUCGUAGAGAAAUCAUUAAGUGCGCCGCCUGGGGAGUACGGUCGCAAGGCUAAAACUCAAAGGAAUUGACGGGGGCUCACACAAGCGGUGGAGCAUGUUGCUUAAUUCGAAGCAACGCGAAGAACCUUACCAGGGUUUGACAUGCAUGGAUUAGUUCAUGGAAACAUGGAUGACACCUUCGGGUGGAACAUGCACAGGUGCUGCAUGGCUGUCGUCAGCUCGUGCUGUGAAGUGUCGGGUUAAGUCCCUUAACGAGCGCAACCCCUGUCGCUAGUUGCCAUCGCGUCAUGGCGGGGACUCUAGCGAGACUGCCGGUGUCAAACCGGAGGAAGGUGGGGAUGACGUCAAGUCCUCAUGGCCCUUACAUCCUGGGUUGCAAACGUGCUACAAUGGCGGGCACAAAGCGACGCGAGGCCGCAAGGCGGAGCAAAUCGCAUAAAACCUGCCCCAGUUCGGAUUGCAGUCUGCAACUCGACUGCAUGAAGCCGGAAUCGCUAGUAAUCGCGGAUCAGCCACGCCGCGGUGAAUACGUUCCUGAGCCUUGUACACACCGCCCGUCAAGUCAUGGAAGCCGGGAGUGCCCGAAGCCGCCCUAUCUCAAGGGUGUCCACGGCAAGUUCGGUGACUGGGACU